Molecule: ribosomal RNA, 500 nt
Filed under: uncultured bacterium
Lineage: Bacteria
Description: partial 16S ribosomal RNA
Rfam family: Bacterial small subunit ribosomal RNA
Source: RNAcentral
AUUGAACGCUGGCGGAAUGCUUUACACAUGCAAGUCGAACGGCAGCACGGGGGCAACCCUGGUGGCGAGUGGCGAACGGGUGAGUAAUAUAUCGGAACGUGCCCAGUCGUGGGGGAUAACGUAGCGAAAGUUACGCUAAUACCGCAUACGAUCUACGGAUGAAAGCGGGGGAUCGCAAGACCUCGCGCGAUUGGAGCGGCCGAUAUCAGAUUAGGUAGUUGGUGAGGUAAAGGCUCACCAAGCCAACGAUCUGUAGCUGGUCUGAGAGGACGACCAGCCACACUGGGACUGAGACACGGCCCAGACUCCUACGGGAGGCAGCAGUGGGGAAUUUUGGACAAUGGGCGCAAGCCUGAUCCAGCCAUUCCGCGUGCAGGACGAAGGCCUUCGGGUUGUAAACUGCUUUUGUACGGAACGAAAAAGCCUUGGCUAAUACCCAGGGUCCAUGACGGUACCGUAAGAAUAAGCACCGGCUAACUACGUGCCAGCCGCCGCGGUAA